CACGUAGGGCGCAAGCGUUGUCCGGAAUUAUUGGGCGUAAAGAGCUCGUAGGUGGUUUGCUGCGUCCGCUGUGAAAACCCAAGGCUUAACCUUGGGCUUGCAGUGGAUACGGGCAGGCUGGAGGCAGGCAGGGGAGAACGGAAUUCCUGGUGUAGCGGUGAAAUGCGCAGAUAUCAGGAGGAACACCGGUGGCGAAGGCGGUUCUCUGGGCCUGUACUGACGCUGAGGAGCGAAAGCGUGGGGAGCGAACAGG
This 253-nucleotide ribosomal RNA is filed under the name uncultured bacterium. RNAcentral's name for it is "partial 16S ribosomal RNA". It matches the Rfam family "Bacterial small subunit ribosomal RNA", at positions 524 to 776 of the family's 1533-position model. The record is from RNAcentral.